CACGUAGUUAGCCGUGACUUCCUCGCCGGGUACCAUCACUCAGAAAGCUUUCCACUCUUUCUGCCUUUUGUCCCCGGCAACAGAGCUUUACGAUCCGAAGACCUUCCUCGCUCACGCGGCAUUGCUCAUUCAGGGUUCCCCCCAUUGACGAAAAUUCCCUACUGCUGCCUCCCGCAGGAGUCUGGGCCGUGUCUCAGUCCCAGUGUGGCCGUCCGCCCUCUCAGGCCGGCUAUGCAUCGUCGCCUUGGUGAGCCGUUACCUCUCCAACCAGCUAAUGCACCGCAGGUCCAUCUGCAUGCGGGACUCUUGUCCCCUUUUCCAAAAAGAGAUGCCUCCUCUUUGCUCAUCCGGUAUCAGCUUCCGUUUCCAGUAAGUUCUCCCGCUCAUGCAGGCAGGUUCCCUACGUGUUACUCACCCGUUCGCCACUCAUAUCCGAAGAUAUCCGUUCGACUUGCAUGUAUUAGGCAUCGCCGCAGCGUUCAUCCUG
RNAcentral lists this ribosomal RNA (487 nucleotides) under uncultured Bacillota bacterium. RNAcentral describes it as "uncultured Firmicutes bacterium partial 16S ribosomal RNA". The record is from RNAcentral. Lineage: Bacteria; Bacillati; Bacillota.